CUCCGUGUUGUAGCUAACGCGUUAAGCACUCCGCCUGGGGACUACGGUCGCAAGACUAAAACUCAAAGGAAUUGACGGGGACCCGCACAAGCAGUGGAGCAUGUGGUUUAAUUCGAUGCAACGCGAAAAGCCUUACCACUCCUUGACAUGGAGAUUAGAUCCUUCUUAACAGAAGGGCGCAGUUCGGCUGGAUCUCGCACAGGUGCUGCAUGGCUGUCGUCAGCUCGUGUCGUGAGAUGUUGGGUUAAGUCCCGCAACGAGCGUAACCCUCAUCCUUAGUUGCCAGCGGGUUAAGCCGGGCACUUUAAGGAAACUGCCAAUGGUAAACUGGAGGAAGGUGGGGAUGACGUCAAGUCAGCACGGCCCUUAUGGGGUGGGCUACACACGUGCUACAAUGGUGACUACAAUAGGUUGCAAUGUCGCAAGGCUGAGCUAAUCCGUAAAAGUCAUCUCAGUUCGGAUUGUCCUCUGCAACUCGAGGGCAUGAAGUCGGAAUCGCUAGUAAUCGUGGAUCAGCAUGCCACGGUGAAUACGUUCUCGGGUCUUGUACACACUGCCCGUCACGCCAUGGGAAUUGGCUUAACUCGAAGCUGGUGCGC
This 599-nucleotide ribosomal RNA is filed under the name Anaplasma phagocytophilum. RNAcentral describes it as "bacterial SSU rRNA". It matches the Rfam family "Bacterial small subunit ribosomal RNA", at positions 839 to 1435 of the family's 1533-position model. Lineage: Bacteria; Pseudomonadati; Pseudomonadota; Alphaproteobacteria; Rickettsiales; Anaplasmataceae. The record is from RNAcentral.